RNAcentral lists this long non-coding RNA (703 nucleotides) under Homo sapiens (human). RNAcentral describes it as "HSALNT0312860". The record is from RNAcentral. Lineage: Eukaryota; Metazoa; Chordata; Mammalia; Primates; Hominidae.
UCCCCUGGGAGGUCAGUGCAGGGUUCCUCCAUUUUGACAUGAGUAAAUUCUAGAUUAGGUAUUUGGCAGUUAACUCAUCUGGAUAUAUGGGAACAGAAGUGCCAGACACGUAGAUAAUAUUUGGAGAACAGGAGCAGACUUGGAACAUGCUGAAUAGAGGACAAGGAAGUAUCAUCAGACAAACUUAAAGAUGAUCUGACAAUGUCAUUUUCCAAGGGACUGAUAGAAAGAUUGAGUAUCAUGGAAUCAGAACAGACAACAGAGAAUCAGAUUUGGACUGAAUCAGAAUAAACAGGCAAUGCAGACACUUGUUCUCUGAAUCACAAUCAAGACUCAGUGCUGGAACAGAUUUGAGGAAUGUAUACAAUUCUUAUCUAAACUGAUGUCUGAUAUUUAACCAGGAAUCAACUUACUCUGGUGAGCUUUGUUGAGAGUAGAUUUUUUGAGGAAAGAAUUGAAGGAGUGGCCAUAUUCAUACUAGAAUAAAACAUAGGAGAUGUCAAGAUUAUCUGAAGAAGGGGAGAGAAGAGACACCAGAUACUUGCAGACACAGAAGAAAUACCAUGUGCAAACAUACCCAGAAGACCACCAUCUGCAAGAGAAGGAGAGAGACCUCAGAAUACACCAAUGCUGCUGAAACCUUCAUCUUGGACUUCCAGCCUCCAGACUUUGAGAAAAUAAAUUUCUGUUGUUUAAGGAGCGC